Molecule: unclassified non-coding RNA, 200 nt
Filed under: Thelephoraceae sp.
Lineage: Eukaryota; Fungi; Basidiomycota; Agaricomycetes; Thelephorales; Thelephoraceae
Description: partial internal transcribed spacer 2
Source: RNAcentral
UUAAGUUCAGCGGGUAGUCCUACCUGAUUUGAGAUCAAACGUUCAAGAAGCUGUCCUCUCUGAGGAGAGACAUCUGUGAGCUCCAGCGAACCUCCAUCGCUGAAGGUUACAUGGUGGACGACAACAAGCGUAGAUAGUUAUCACACCUGUGACGCCACCAAACACUGGCGAGCUGAUCCAUUUGAGAGGAGCCGACGCCA